Acanthosepion pharaonis is the source of this 113-nucleotide non-coding RNA. The record is from the annotation of a GenBank genome assembly. NCBI's taxonomy places the organism in Eukaryota, Metazoa, Mollusca, Cephalopoda, Sepiida, Sepiidae.
UUACGGCCAUAACACGUUGUGACACCGGUUCCCGUACAAUCACUGAAGUUAAGCAACGUUGAGCCAGGUCAGUAACUAAAUCGGUUCCGCUUGGGAACACCAGGUGCUGUAAG